GUGUAGGGGUACCAGGUAGUUGAUGUGUAGGGGUACCAGGUAGUUGAUGUGUAGGGGUACUAGGUAGUUGAUGUGUAGGGGUACGAGGUAGUUGAUGUGUAGGGGUACGAGGUAGUUGAUGUGUAGGGGUACGAGGUAGUUGAUGUGUAGGGGUACCAGGUAGUUGAUGUGUAGGGGUACGGGGUAGUUGAUGUGUAGGGGUACCAGGUAGUUGAUGUGUAGGGGUACCAGGUAGUUGAUGUGUAGGGGUACCAGGUAGUUGAUGUGUAGGGGUACCAGGUAGUUGAUGUGUAGGGGUACUAGGUAGUUGAUGUGUAGGGGUACCAGGUAGUUGAUGUGUAGGGGUACUAGGUAGUUGAUGUGUAGGGGUACCAGGUAGUUGAUGUGUAGGGGUACUAGGUAGUUGAUGUGUAGGGGUACCAGGUA
Oncorhynchus keta (chum salmon) is the source of this 426-nucleotide long non-coding RNA. RefSeq lists it as uncharacterized. The record is from RefSeq and is a predicted model, not a curated record. NCBI's taxonomy places the organism in Eukaryota, Metazoa, Chordata, Actinopteri, Salmoniformes, Salmonidae. The transcript has 3 exons.